RNAcentral lists this ribosomal RNA (466 nucleotides) under uncultured bacterium. Its description in RNAcentral is "partial 16S ribosomal RNA". It matches the Rfam family "Bacterial small subunit ribosomal RNA", at positions 28 to 507 of the family's 1533-position model. The record is from RNAcentral.
GACGAACGCUGGCGGCGUGCUUAACACAUGCAAGUCGAACGGAAAGGCCCUGCUUGCAGGGUACUCGAGUGGCGAACGGGUGAGUAACACGUGGGUGAUCUGCCCUGCACUUCGGGACAAGCUUGGGAAACUGGGUCUAAUACCGGAUAGGAGCCAUCUUUAGUGUGGUGGUUGGAAAGUUUUUUCGGUGUAGGAUGAGCUCGCGGCCUAUCAGCUUGUUGGUGGGGUAAUGGCCUACCAAGGCGGCGACGGGUAGCCGGCCUGAGAGGGUGUACGGCCACAUUGGGACUGAGAUACGGCCCAGACUCCUACGGGAGGCAGCAGUGGGGAAUAUUGCACAAUGGGCGCAAGCCUGAUGCAGCGACGCCGCGUGGGGGAUGAAGGCCUUCGGGUUGUAAACUCCUUUCGCUAGGGACGAAGCUUUUUUGUGACGGUACCUAGAUAAGAAGCACCGGCUAACUACGUG